AGGAAUCAUGAGACAAAUAGCAAAAAUGCACACAACUUGGGACUAGCCAUUAUAAGGUCAGAGUCACUUUCCCCAACAGUGCCUGUGAGCUGGAGGCGAGCGAAAGCUCGGGGGGGUGGUACCUGUACCAGGGGGAGACAACCAGGACAGACGGUAAACAGAUCGCCAGGUGGAAUCCAAGCAGCAGUGCAGCAGGCAAUGGAACCAGUUCCAGUUACCGGGCUCCUCGGACUUGGAGAGUAGCACCUUGUUAUGCCAUCACUCAAGAGCAACUGAGGUGUCUGAUGUCCUGUGCUUUCAGUGUGUCUCAGAUGGCAGAUCUUCUACAUGUGUCUCGAUUGACAGUCAAAUUGACAGUCGUCUAAGACACUUCAAUCUGUCACAUGCACCGUUAUAUUCUGACAUGUCAGACUUGGCUCUGAAUGAAAAGAUUAAGGACUUGGUGGCUGGGAACGACAAACGUGGACCGGAGGCUGUUCAAUCACAAUUAAGGGCUCUGGGUGCAGAGACGCAGAGUGAGGGACAGCAUGCUUCGUGUUAACCCGAGGGCGGCUGCCCUCAGAGCCAUGUCGCAGAGGCUGCAUAGAAGGUCAUACUGUGUUGCUGGACCAAACUCGUUAGGGCACCUUGAUGGAAACCACAAACUGAUAAGGUAGAUGUAUCUUUGUGAUAGACACAAUGAUCUGUAUCACUGGUGAGAAGUUGUACAUUGUAACAUCUCAAAUUGUUCAUCAACAACUUGUUCUUCAACAACUAACAGUUCAGUAAGCAAUGGCCCUUGAUACCAUAUGUCACUCAUGUGGAUAAUAAUUGUUGGUUUUCAUUGCUUUGUAUUUGUUUUUGUUUCAAUACAAAUUUAACUAGAUUGGGUCUGCUGUAUGGUCGGGUUUCUCCCUAAGGGUUAGCCCUCCAUCUACCUGACCCCAUAACUCUGAGUUGUGGUCACCAGUAUGAUAAGGGAGUAUAAGCCAAUUUGGAAAUGGUGUCAACAGUGUGUUGGUAUGCUCUUUGACAUUUGUCUGAGGAAUUUUGUAAAAAUAAAAUUGGGAAAAUAA
Long non-coding RNA from Oncorhynchus tshawytscha (Chinook salmon), 1055 nucleotides. NCBI's taxonomy places the organism in Eukaryota, Metazoa, Chordata, Actinopteri, Salmoniformes, Salmonidae. The record is from Ensembl.